ACUUAAGUAGUUUAUAUAAAAUAUUGAUUUGUGGUGUCGAUGAAAUAGUUUUCUAUCUUAGGUC
This 64-nucleotide transfer RNA is filed under the name Jacobsonina sp. Its description in RNAcentral is "tRNA-His". The record is from RNAcentral. Lineage: Eukaryota; Metazoa; Arthropoda; Insecta; Blattodea; Blattellidae.